GGGGCCGUAGCUCAGGGGGAGAGCGCUGGUAUGGCACGCCAGAGGUCGGGGGUUCAAAUCCCCUCGGCUCCA
Molecule: transfer RNA, 72 nt
Filed under: Candidatus Calescibacterium sp.
Lineage: Bacteria; Candidatus Calescibacteriota; Candidatus Calescibacteriales; Candidatus Calescibacteriaceae
Description: tRNA-Ala
Rfam family: tRNA
About the family: Transfer RNA (tRNA) molecules are approximately 80 nucleotides in length. Their secondary structure includes four short double-helical elements and three loops (D, anti-codon, and T loops).
Source: RNAcentral